GGCGACGGGUGAGUAACACGUGGAUAACCUGCCCACAACUUUGGGAUAACGCUAGGAAACUGGUGCUAAUACUGGAUAUGUGCUCCUGCUGCAUGGUGGGGGUUGGAAAGCUCCGGCGGUUGUGGAUGGACUCGCGGCCUAUCAGCUUGUUGGUGGGGUAGUGGCCUACCAAGGCGGCGACGGGUAGCCGGCCUGAGAGGGUGACCGGCCACAUUGGGACUGAGAUACGGCCCAG
Molecule: ribosomal RNA, 235 nt
Filed under: uncultured Actinomycetales bacterium
Lineage: Bacteria; Bacillati; Actinomycetota; Actinomycetes; Actinomycetales
Description: partial 16S ribosomal RNA
Rfam family: Bacterial small subunit ribosomal RNA
Source: RNAcentral